AUUGAACGCUGGCGGCAUGCCUUACACAUGCAAGUCGAACGGCAGCACGGGGGCAACCCUGGUGGCGAGUGGCGAACGGGUGAGUAAUACAUCGGAAUGUACCCAGUAGUGGGGGAUAACUAGUCGAAAGAUUAGCUAAUACCGCAUACGCACUAUGGUGAAAGCGGGGGAUCGCAAGACCUCGCGCUAUUGGAGCAGCCGAUGUCCGAUUAGGUAGUUGGUGGGGUAAAGGCCUACCAAGCCUGCGAUCGGUAACUGGUCUGAGAGGACGACCAGUCACACUGGGACUGAGACACGGCCCAGACUCCUACGGGAGGCAGCAGGUGGGGUAAUUUUGGACAAUGGGGGAAACCCUGAUCCAGCAAUGCCGCGUGUGUGACGAAGGCCUUCGGGUUGUAAAGCACUUUUGGCGGGAACGAAACGGCGCUUUCUAAUACAGAGCGCUAAUGACGGUACCCGCAGAAUAAGCACCGGCUAACUACGUG
RNAcentral lists this ribosomal RNA (485 nucleotides) under uncultured bacterium. RNAcentral's name for it is "bacterial SSU rRNA". It matches the Rfam family "Bacterial small subunit ribosomal RNA", at positions 30 to 507 of the family's 1533-position model. The record is from RNAcentral.